RNAcentral lists this ribosomal RNA (552 nucleotides) under uncultured Glomus. RNAcentral's name for it is "SSU rRNA". It matches the Rfam family "Eukaryotic small subunit ribosomal RNA", at positions 548 to 1098 of the family's 1831-position model. Lineage: Eukaryota; Fungi; Glomeromycota; Glomeromycetes; Glomerales; Glomeraceae. The record is from RNAcentral.
UUGGAGGGCAAGUCUGGUGCCAGCAGCCGCGGUAAUUCCAGCUCCAAUAGCGUAUAUUAAAGUUGUUGCAGUUAAAAAGCUCGUAGUUGAAUUUCGGGAUCAGUACGCUGGUCGUGCCUUCGGUAGUAUGCACUGGUGUCACUGAUUCCUUCCUUCUGAAGAACCGUAAUGCCAUUCAGUUGGUGUGGCGGGGAAUUAGGGUUGUUACUUUGAAAAAAUUAGAGUGUUUAAAGCAGGCUCGCGCUUGAAUACAUUAGCAUGGAAUAAUGAAAUAGGACGUUUGAUCCUAUUUUGUUGGUUUCUAGGAUCGACGUAAUGAUUAAUAGGGAUAGUUGGGGGCAUUAGUAUUCAAUUGUCAGAGGUGAAAUUCUUGGAUUUAUUGAAGACUAACUACUGCGAAAGCAUUUGCCAAGGAUGUUUUCAUUAAUCAAGAACGAAAGUUAGGGGAUCGAAGACGAUCAGAUACCGUCGUAGUCUUAACCAUAAACUAUGCCGACUAGGGAUCGGAUGAUGUUAAUUUUUUAAUGGCUCAUUCGGCGCCUUACGGGAAAC